Molecule: unclassified non-coding RNA, 2147 nt
Filed under: Portunus trituberculatus (swimming crab)
Lineage: Eukaryota; Metazoa; Arthropoda; Malacostraca; Decapoda; Portunidae
Description: gelsolin-related protein of 125 kDa-like, transcript variant X2
Source: RNAcentral
GUAUGCGUGGUGAAGCGUGGCAGCGUCUGAGGAAACACGAGGGGUAUAUAAGAGUGGCAGUGGAGAGCCGCGUUCUUAGUUCGAGUGAGCGUCCCUCCCUGUUAACUCAUCAGCUUCCCUCCGCACAUACACGCACCACCACCGCCAUGAGUUCCGACGCCGCUGAAGUCAAGGUCGCCGAGGAGACCAAGAAGGAGGAGGCGAAGGAGGAGGCGAAGGAGGAGGUGAAGGAGGAGGCGGCGAAGGAGGAAGCAAAGGAAGAAGACACCAAGGAGGAGGCGAAGGAGGAGAAAAAGGAGGAGGAGAAGAAGGACGAGGCGAAGGAGGAGGUGAAGGAGGAGGAAAAGAAGGAGGAGGAGAAGGAACAGGAGGAGGCCAAGGAUGGUGCAAAGUAAGGCCGAGGAAGAGAAGCCCGCUGAGGAGAGCCCCGCUGUCAUCGAAGACACCAAGAAGGUCGAGGAGGAGGCGCCGAAAGAAGCGGCAGAACCUGAGUCUUAAUAGUAACCUAGCCACCACGAGCUUCUUCUGUUUACCUUCCCGCCCUCACUGAAGGUUUCCGACUCCAAUCGCUUCAUCUCAGCUGCAUACACCUCCUCCUCCUUACCCUCCAAACUUCAAUGUCUCUUCACUCUUACCCCUGAAUACAGCUCAGUUUUCUCCUCAGCUUCAAAUUAAUCAUUCUCUCUGUUUUACUUUAAUUCUCGUCUUCUGUUUUCUCUUUAUCCUCGCCUUAAGCAGCUACCCAGUUUCUUUCUCUCCUCCUUGGCGUGUAGAUGUACAGACUAUCAUUCGCUUCAGUUUCCCUCCCUCCUCAUUCCCUAGACACGUAAGCUCUCUCUAACUCUCUCGUCCACCUCCUCCUCUCCGAACCCCGUCUCUGUGGGCUCGUGAGGAAGCAGUAGUGAUAGAGAUGAGGAAAUACGUAAUAGGUACGGUAUAUUGCUUGUAACACUGACUGUCGUAUGCAUUCCUGCCACUUGUAUAGCAGACAGAGUACGCAAACCCAUCCAGACGUUCGUAUUGGAGAAAAGGAUGCCAAAGAAUCAAAGAAAAUGGAAAAGUCUUAACAGUAACUCAACUAUUUCUUGUCUUCCUCCCUGUUAGUAGUGGUCUAUCUGUUUUCCAUUUUGUAUGUGAACGAAUGAGACAAUCAGACCCAAUGGCUGUAAAUUAGUUGCAGGUCAUGUUCACCUGUAGACUAACAAAACAAAUACUACGGUGGUGCCUUAACAUUUGUGCCUUCCCGUUUUCUAUAGGAGAAACAAACCCACACUAUUGUAUACAGUUUUCAUGUCAACACUAAUGGGAGAUGACAAAUAAUAGAAAGUUGGUUAAUUUAUACAGUUCCAAUGGUAUCAGUUUCGUAGCCAAGUGUUCCUCCUCCAUUUGAUUUUUUUUUUUUUUUCUUUCUCUUGUCCAGCCGAGCCACGCGUUUGAUCCUGAAGCAGAGUGUGUUGGAGGUGACUCUGGUGUGAGUGAUAGGUGAGAAUUGACUCUAGUCGCACAGGUACACCAGUAGAGCAUUCUGAGAGCAUUAUCCUACCAUUAUCCUCUUCUAUCUCUAUUACAAAGGCAUCAGAACAAUUCCUCUCCUUGCUAUUACUAUUAUUAGCAUUAUUAUUACAAUGCAUUCAGUAAAAUCGUCCUGUUGAGUUAUAUCAAUGUAGAGUUAAUAAGAGUCAAGUUUCCUUUCUUAUUCUUACACUCGAAGGCAAUUAAGGAGUUCCAUACACUUUUCCUGUACCUUUUUUCCUUCUCCUUAAUCACUUCACAUCCUACGGGACAUUAUUUACACCGCCAUGCUCAAGUCACGCAUCUUAACCCGUGAUCGUAAGGCAAGUCUAGAGCGUCAUGAUGUGAGCUCCUGCCUUCCUCUCUUUCCUACCUGGCCACGAUCCUCUCCCUCCAAGACGCUGGUGUAGAAUCUAAUACUAAGUGUGUCGUGUGUGAAGAGAAAGUUAGGUGUGGAAUCUUUAUUAAGGGUGAUUUUGUGUGUGGUGGAUGCUUGUAUGUUUUGUUGUCAGUUUUUUUUUCUCCUUUUUUUUCCACGUGUUCUGCAAGGUUGGAUAUAUAGUAAGAGGAAAAUUAUAACUUGUAUGGAUGUGGUGAGAGAAGAAAGAGAAUAAAUAUACUGUGAAGACUGAAGA